UCCAUGGCUGAUUGUGUCCUUGCCUGUGCUCCUGCUUUGUGUGCGCUUGUGUUCAGGCAGGGUCCACAGGAAUCCAUGGGGGAGCACAAAUUCCUGCAUGAAUCCUCCCCGAUGUGACGGAGCCUCUCUGUGUCUGUCUGUGUGCGUCUGUGUGUGUGAGUGUGUGUCCUAUUGUGUUACUGAGCCAGUGGAAUGCGUUGAUCUCACUGGAGACGCUCUCCAUGGCUCUGCCCUGAGCAUCCCAGAGCAGCAUUUGCCCAGACUCAGAAGGAGUCUGGGAGUCAUUGAACAAUGAUGGAGCAGCCUGCAGGAGAUUUUUCCAGGGAAGAGGCGCUGAAAUGCAGUGCCUGCUUCCUGAGUUCUCCUUUCCCAGCUGCUCCAAAAACAUCACACUCUGCUACUGCCAAUUGCAAGCCCCAACAAGGAGGGUUUCACCAAGUCGGGAUUUUUAGCUUAAUUCCGUUUCAAACGUUGGGAGUGCCUCAGCACGGCUGGGAGUGCUCGCACACACACGGAAACAUGGGUACAUGGACACUGAGACAUACAAAUACACACAGGGCCAGUGCACAGCUGCUCUCUCCUGAGCUGAAUCCGAUUGGUUUCGUGGACACGCAGGAAGGCUGGGGCUUUGUGCCCACGUCCUGGAUCCGUGUGAGUGCAUUUCUUUCCAGCGCCCUGAGCGACAAUUCGGGAGUCCCCACAGGACAGCAAAGAGAGGAUGUGAGGGAACAGAUGAUGGGAGCGAAGGAAAGGCAGGGACUGUCGAUGCUGAGCUGCACGAUGCCAGCCCGAUGCCCUGGGCCCCAGCCCGGCGCCGCCGCUUGCGACGUGCAGAGAGCCGAGCGCCGCCCCGCAGCCCCCGCGCUCGCCUCCGCUCCGUUCCCUGGCGGGACUGGGCGAGAGCCCGAGCGGCAGCGGCGCAGGGCUGAGCCCCGGGGCGGAGCUGGCGGCGGCCCAGAGGAGGCGGCACGGCCGCAGCAGAGCCGGGGCUCAGGGGCACAGCGAGGCUCGGCCGGCGGAGCGGCGCCAUGCGGCGGGCUCGGGCCGCGGGGCUGCCGGCGCUGGCCGCGCUGCUGCUCGUGGCUGUGGCCAGAGCCCAGGUAGAGCAGGAGCCUUUCCUGGAGACCACCGAGGGCACCGGCAUCAACAUCACCGGCUCACAUCCCCAAAUCCAGACCGACCAAACGAUCUACUGGUACCGUCAGCUGCCGGGCCGAGGACCCGAACUCUUCGUGAGCAUUUUCAAAGACUCCAAAGAGCUGCCGGACAGUGCGGGCCAUGUGCGGGUGUCGCCAGAUCGGCGUUCCAGCGCGCUGUGGCUGGCUGUGCCCCGGCGCGGGGACGCGGCCGUGUAUUACUGCGCGCUGGGGGCCACGGGCAGAGGAGCCGGGGCUGCGGCCGAGCACGAACCGCCGCGGGCGGGGCCGGGCGGGGCCAGCAGGGGCCGCUGCCGCUCCGCCCGCCGGGGCCUCCUCGCUCCGCUCGUCCCGGGCUGCCGGCACCGACACCGGAACCGACACCGGCACCGGGACCGACACCGGCAAAGGGACCGACACCGGCACUGUCACCAGGACCGGCCCCUACAACGGGACCUGCACCAGCAUCGGCACUGACACAGGACCUAACCCUGGCAAUGGCACCGGAACCGACACCGGAACGGACACCGGCACCGACACCAGAACCGAAACCGGCAACGGGACUGGCACCAACACUAGAACUGAUACCAGAACCAAUACCGGCAAUGAGACCGGGACCGACACUGGCGAUGGGACCGACACCGGCACUGACACCAGAACCGACACCCGCAAUGGGAACGGCACCGGCACCUGCACGGACCCCAGCACCGGCAACGACAGCGGUACUGGCAGCGACACC
Molecule: non-coding RNA, 1875 nt
Organism: Motacilla alba alba
Lineage: Eukaryota; Metazoa; Chordata; Aves; Passeriformes; Motacillidae
Source: the annotation of a RefSeq genome assembly